GAAUGCUGACAUAAGUAACGAUAAAGCGGGUGAAAAGCCCGCUCGCCGGAAGACCAAGGGUUCCUGUCCAACGUUAAUCGGGGCAGGGUGAGUCGACCCCUAAGGCGAGGCCGAAAGGCGUAGUCGAUGGGAAACGGGUUAAUAUUCCCGUACUUGGUGUUACUGCGAAGGGGGGACGGAGAAGGCUAUGUUGGCCGGGCGACGGUUGUCCCGGUUUAAGCGUGUAGGUGUGUGUUCCAGGUAAAUCCGGUUCACUUUAACACUGAGGCGUGACGACGAGGCACUACGGUGCUGAAGCAACAAAUGCCCUGCUUCCAGGAAAAGCCUCUAAGCAUCAGGUAACACGAAAUCGUACCCCAAACCGACACAGGUGGUCAGGUAGAGAAUACCAAGGCGCUUGAGAGAACUCGGGUGAAGGAACUAGGCAAAAUGGUGCCGUAACUUCGGGAGAAGGCACGCUGACACGUAGGUGAAGUGAUUUACUCAUGGAGCUGAAGUCAGUCGAAGAUACCAGCUGGCUGCAACUGUUUAUUAAAAACACAGCACUGUGCAAACACGAAAGUGGACGUAUACGGUGUGACGCCUGCCCGGUGCCGGAAGGUUAAUUGAUGGGGUCAGCG
Molecule: ribosomal RNA, 620 nt
Filed under: Salmonella enterica
Lineage: Bacteria; Pseudomonadati; Pseudomonadota; Gammaproteobacteria; Enterobacterales; Enterobacteriaceae
Also listed under: 5 other names
Description: partial 23S ribosomal RNA
Rfam family: Bacterial large subunit ribosomal RNA
Source: RNAcentral